RNAcentral lists this ribosomal RNA (325 nucleotides) under uncultured Xenasmatella. Its description in RNAcentral is "eukaryotic LSU rRNA". The stretch from base 1 to 71 matches the Rfam family "5.8S ribosomal RNA", at positions 84 to 154 of the family's 154-position model. The record is from RNAcentral. Lineage: Eukaryota; Fungi; Basidiomycota; Agaricomycetes; Russulales; Xenasmataceae.
GUGAAUCAUCGAAUCUUUGAACGCACCUUGCACUCCUUGGUAUUCCGAGGAGUAUGCCUGUUUGAGUGUCAUGAAAUUCUCAACUUCAUAGUUUUUAUUACUUUUGAAGCUUGGAUCUGGGAGUUGCUGGCUCAUAUAGUAGUCGGCUCUUCUUAAAUGCAUUAGCUGCUUGUCCGUGAGUUGGCUCAGAGUGUGAUAAGUAUCUACACUUGGUGGCUACUUGCUUGGAUGUGGCUUCUAGUUGACCUUAGGGACACUUUCUUACCAUCUGACCUCAAAUCAGGUAGGACUACCCGCUGAACUUAAGCAUAUCAAUAAGCGGAGG